AAACGCAGGCUGAAGUGACCGGUGCCAGUUCCUCUGACUCAGGCGUGCCUUCCUGGCACUCUCUUCCCCUUCUGCCACAGGAUGCAGAGGAUUCUAGGAUCCUAGGAGAAGGUGAGGCACAAGAUGUAAAGCAUCCAGUCUCCUGAAUUCUCUCAUGGAAGGAAGUCUCCUACCAACCAGGACCUCCCACACCGGAUGAUCAGUGACAGAAGAAAGAAGUAGAAUUUUUUUGGCGCUUUGACCUUCGAAAGAGAACUUCCUCUCAUCAACUCUUUUCUUAUCCUGAGCUAUAGUCUUUAGAGGGAAGGCAAGAAAUAUGAGGAUGAAGAUGCAUAGUUGAGCACGGAAGGUGGAAACAGAAAACAUAGAAGCCGCCCGCACGGUCCUGAAUGGAAUGUGGCUGAGCUAUGGAAGUACUCCUUUGAGUGCAAAGUCUGGCACCAGAGCCUGCAGCUUCUGCCCAUGCAUGAUCCUUAAGCAGAAACAGCAAGAUACAGAGAAAGGCAUGAGGCACCAUCUCGCCUUUUGUUAAAAAAGCAAAACAAACAAACAAAAAAACCCAGUAGAUGUGAAUGUAUGUAUGAUCACGCACACACAAAAAUAUUUAGGACGCUUAACCUCAAGCCGGGUGAGAUCCGAGGCCCCAAGAACACCACGUUCCUCAGACAGACUCUCAGUGUGGGUGGUGCUGGGGCUGCAGCUGUAAGCUGAUGGUGAGCAUCUCUUGUAAACUCUGUUCAGUGACCUCGUGCUGGUUCUUUGAAAUUGGCCACGCUGGAAGCGUUUGCACAGCAGAAAUUGGCAAAUGCUGCGAAGCAGGGUUUCCUCCCCUCAAGAGCCGGUUGUUAAACCUUUUUCAGCAUGUCACUGCCACAGGACUGGAAAUGCCGCUUCCGCUUCAUCUCCAGAGGCCUACACUCAAAUACUUGCUUACUCUUUGCACCGGGGAAAUGCAUGGGCACAGAUAAUUUUAGAGCACACAGGGGACCUUUCAGCUCUUAUUUGCCAGAGGUCUCUGGUCUCUGGCGGGGAGUAACAUCCUUUCCUGAGGAUACUGUGGUCUGUGGAACCUGAGACAGCGCUAUGCUGCAUCCUCGCCACUGGGAGGCAGUGUUGCCCCAGGCAAGGCAUCUGCCCAGCCAAGCCCAGCUGGGAGGAGCUCCCAGGGUCAGCAGUGGACAGCCAGUGUCUCAGCCCUCAGCGUCCUGGGACCCCUUCCCCGGGGACCCUUCCCUAGUGGUGGAGGUCAGGGAGAGGAAGAAAUCAAACCUUAGCAUUCUUACACCCAUGGAUUUCAAAAGCAGGGAUAACAAUAAGACAUUCAGCAUAUUACCAUUCAGGCCAACUGGCUCUGAUACUUACAAGCAGUAUCAGAAGUUAAAACACCACUAGCCUCGGUUUUCUCACCUGCAAAACGGGGCAUAUAGCAGUGUCAACUUCACAGGGAAUUGCGAUGAUUACAUGACAUGAUGCCCGUACCCCAUUGAUAGAGCUUAGAAAGGUGCCUGGCACCUGUUGAUCCCCCAGGAAGGGCAGCUCCUGUGACACAGUGUGUUAGGGUCUUGUUAGUGUUUGUGCUCACCAUCUGAGGUUUGAACUAUAAUUUUCCAUUUUAGAGGUGGGACACAGAAGGAAAGGGGCUGUCUCAAAGCCACACAGUGAGGGCCUUGAACCCUGGCCUAAAUGAUGCCAUGAGGCUCCCCUUCCUCAUUUGGCACAGCAGAAACAAUGGAGAGAGAAGAGGGGUCUAGAGCUGGCAACGGGAUCUGAUCUGCCCUCCCCAGCCCCGCCUGCACACCUGGGCAGGCUGCUCAAUCUCAGCAUUCCCUUUCUGAACCCCUGUAAAAUGCGACUUGCAGUCACUACUUCAGAGUUAUUGUGAGAUCCAGUAACACAGCGAACGCAGAAUCCUUCAAAACAAAUAAGCAAUACACUAAUGUCUCCAGUCAGCUCAUGCUUGUUGCACGCCAAAUGUACGCCAGGCCAUGGGCAAUGGUGUUCUGUGAGCCCCCGGCUUUGCCCACAUGGGCUCACAGUCUGUGAAGGCAGGGUUGAUGCAGCCUCAGUUUCCUCCUCUGGAUUCACACAUUUUUGCCUGGCAGGGUCUGGCACUGGGGAGGGUAGGCGGGGCAUCUUUACAAUGUCCCACCCCCCUGUCUCACACACACACAGGCACACACUCACAAAGGAGGUAUUGGGUCUUCAUUCGUGGGCUCAAUGCUGGGGAGCAACAGAGGUGGCCGCUUGUUGACAGGCAGCAGCUCAACAUGGCAAGGACCUGUCCCGGGAGAGGCUGUCCCACGUCCAGCUGCAGCAGGGGUGCCCUGAACCUUACCCAUACUUAGGCAGUGGUCGUUCCUCUGCAAAGCUCUUGGUGUCCAUUGCUGUACUCCUGGAAAGAGGCCACCAGUGCCGAGGGCCACAGCCAGGCAGUCAUGUCCAGUUCCUGAACUUGGCUUUCUCACCUUUGAGCUGGGGACACUGCCAGCCACUACACCAGUAUUGAGGACUGACUGGAGGCCUGGAGCCCAGGGAGUGCUGGUGGGAUGGCAGAGGCCCACAGGGUAACUGCUCGACUACAAGGCUCUGCUCCCAGCUCCUGCCCGAAGCCCAGUGUCGCCUCUCCUUUGCAAUGUCUUAUAAAAUAAACAGGUGCUGGUCAUCUCAACCUGUAGAGCUGUCUGAGGACUGAAUAAGGCAGGUGUGAGUUCCAGGCACAUAGGCUGGCGACACAGAGGCAACACUAGACCCAGCCUCCACAGCUGGCACCUCCACCCUUCCCGGUGCUCAGGCUCAAGCCACACUUCCACCUCAGUGCCUCACUCCUGCCAGUCUGUCCUCAAAGGCAGCCGCCCCACCUCCAGCCCGACCACUGCUGCACCUCCUGUGUGAGUCAUGUUAUCAGCACACCUGGGCCAAGCCAGUGGCUUUGGGGACCUCCUGGCUGCACUCUCCACCAAGUUGACAGAGUGGUCUUUUAAAGUCGAAGUUAGAUCCUGUCUGUCCCCUGCUCUGAGCUCUCCAGUGGCUUCUGUCUCACUCACAUGGAAUAAAAUCCAAAGCCCUCACCUGGCCCUAUAAGGGCCUCACCACCUCCUUCUUAUCCAUGCCUCAGAGACUCUGUACUUCUGUCCCCUGUGCCCGGCACACCCUUCCCCACGCAGCCAAAGGUGGCUCCUCUAUUCAUCCCGGUCUCUGCUACGGCCACCAGGACAGAGCUGCUCCUUCCUUCCCUAUUAUUUCAAGGCUGUUCUCCCCUGUGCUUCCUCGGGACUCCAUCCCUUCACCUUGCUGUCUGCUUCCUUUUAGCACCCAAUGCCACAUGAUGGGUUUAAUGCCAUCACCGUGCCCCCUCACCUGUGAAACUCCAAAAAGGCAGAGGCUUGGUUUUGUUCUCUCCAAGCCCCUGCCCAGCACUAUUCACUAGCCUUUGGCCUGGCACUACUAAUAGGCACUCAAUAAAUACAUCUCGAGCAAAUGAAUGAAUUAGUAAAUGCAGGACUGAGUGAGUGAGUGAAUGAAUGAAAAGCUUCCCAUUAACCCACGUAUGUGCUCUGAAGGAUUGGUUCAGAAUCAAAGGAUUUUGAUCAAAUACCCAUGUACAGAAGUCCACUCCAGACCCAAAUUCCUCCAAAAACAGACUCACCUCUCCUUAGGGACACACAGAAUGCUUAUCUCCUAAACUCAUUCCAGAAUCUCUGGUGGUUGGGUCAAAGAAAAUCUACUGGGAAGAACCCAGCAGACCUCCCAUAAAUGGAGCUCCUGGUGUCCCUGCCCUUCCUCUCGGUAGGUGGCUUUGUUGAGGGAGAGUUACAGACUCUACUGGGACGGGACCUUCCUAGGUCAAAUUCCUUCUUUCUCCAAUCUAUGUGACUCGGGCCGGUCAGAGCCUCAGUUUCUCUCUACGAAUAAGAGGUUCAAGCCCAUUGCACAUACCUAGCUUGCUGUGAUGUUGAAGCAGGGAUGGGGCCUUUUUGGUGACAACCUGCUAUAUGCUGGGUGUACACAGAGCACUCAGCAUCUGGGGACAUUCAGCAAAUCUCAGCUCCCCUUCCCCACCUGACCCCAGCCAUGGCAUUCCUGCUGCCUUCACUCCUCUGAAGGGGGAAGUGAGGGUAAGAGAAGAAGCCACUUGCCUAUGGAGAUAUUUUGCAAAGCUGGGACUGGAUGAAUCUCAGAUUCCUGAGUCUGAGCCCAGAACUCACCCAUUGCCACCCACUGAAUGUGUUGACUUUUAACGGCUAUCUGAAGAUGUGGUUCCCCUGCUGAGCACUAAGGAGGAGGAGGGAUGAGAAAAAACAACCACUGCCCAAGUGAGCUCCAUGCCUGAAGAAAUCUACUGAGGUUGCGGUGGGCUUGGGAUGGGCAUUGACUGAGGGCUUGGGCAUCAACUACUUCACUUGACUCAAUUCUAACACAGCUCUGGGCAGUAAGCAUCCCUGUGCCCAUUUUACAGAGGAAAAGCUGAGGCUCCCAGAGGGGUAACCACAAGCCCAGAGUCACACACACCUUGCAGAUAGCAGAGCUCAGGUUCAAACCCAGGUCUGCCUAAGUCCCAGCUUUCCCCCACUGUGCAGUCCACAUCCCCAGAUCCUCUGAACACUGCCUCUCCAGCCAAGCCUACCGGGACUGAGACACACACUUUCUUCCCACAGCUGGGUCUCCAGCUCACUCCCUGAAGCUCCUGGGCAGGUGACAGUGGUGAGAGAAGUGGACCACAGAGUGAACACCCUCUGAAAAUGGGCUCCACUCAGUCUGAAUGCUAACCCAGGAUCCGAUUGUCAAGAGGAAAGGAAAAUCCAAGGUUUCCCGGGAAAUCUCCUGAUUUUUCCAUGUCGUCAGUUAUGUUUUGUUUUGGGUCCUUGAGCCACUGUCCAGCCACUGCAGCACCCAAACACUGGCAGGAGCCAAUGCGGAUUGUCUGUUCCUAUGGCCUAAGUCACGCCCCCCAAAUUCCUAUACUGAAUCCCUAACCCCUAGUACUUCAAAAUGUGACUGUAUUUGGCGCUAGAAACUUUAAAGGGGUGAUUAAGUUAAAAUAAGGCCAUCAGGGUGGGUCUUAAUCCAAAAUGACUGGGGUCCUUGUAAGAGGAGAUUAGGACCCAGACAGGUACAGGAGGAAAGGCGUGAAGAUGCGGUGAGAAGGCGGCCAUGUGCAAGCAGAGGAGAGAGGCCUCUGCAGAAACCAACGCUGCUGAUGCCUUCAUGGCAGACUGUUCGCCUCCAGAACUG
Callithrix jacchus (white-tufted-ear marmoset) is the source of this 5232-nucleotide long non-coding RNA. RefSeq lists it as uncharacterized. NCBI's taxonomy places the organism in Eukaryota, Metazoa, Chordata, Mammalia, Primates, Cebidae. The record is from RefSeq and is a predicted model, not a curated record.